AAACCAUGAUGAGGGCAUUGUAUGGUGUAACACCUGAACCUCUCCAAGCUUCACCAUAGCUCUCUAGAUUCUUCUAGUGAAAACCAUAAAUCUCAUUUUUUAUCCU
Small nucleolar RNA from Raphanus sativus (radish), 106 nucleotides. The record is from RefSeq and is a predicted model, not a curated record. NCBI's taxonomy places the organism in Eukaryota, Viridiplantae, Streptophyta, Magnoliopsida, Brassicales, Brassicaceae.